RNAcentral lists this transfer RNA (92 nucleotides) under Burkholderia multivorans. RNAcentral's name for it is "tRNA-Ser". Lineage: Bacteria; Pseudomonadati; Pseudomonadota; Betaproteobacteria; Burkholderiales; Burkholderiaceae. The record is from RNAcentral.
GGGGCGGUUAAUUUUACAACCUGUUGAUAUACAAGGAGAUACGACGGCCUGCAAAGCCGUUUAGGCCGGUUCGACUCCGGCUCGCGCCUCCA